GGGAUUGCCUCAGUAACGGCGAGUGAAGCGGCAACAGCUCAAAUUUGAAAUCUGGCUCCUUCGGGGUCCGAAUUGUAAUUUGUAGAGAGUGCUUCGGGCGAGACCUCGGUCUAAGUCCAUUGGAACAUGGUGUCAUAGAGGGUGAGAAUCCCGUAUGCGACCGUGGCUCGAGCCCAUGUGAAGCCUCUUCGACGAGUCGAGUUGUUUGGGAAUGCAGCUCAAAAUGGGUGGUAAAUUUCAUCUAAAGCUAAAUACUGGCUGGAGACCGAUAGCGCACAAGUAGAGUGAUCGAAAGACGAAAAGCACUUUGGAAAGAGAGUUAAACAGUACGUGAAAUUGUUGAAAGGGAAGCGCUUGCAACCAGACCUGCCCGUAGGCGAUCCGCCGCUGUUCUCAGCGGUGUACUCGCUCUGCGAUCAGGCCAGCAUCGGUUUCGGCGGUCGGAUAAAGGCCUUGGGAAUGUAGCUUCCCUUCGGGGGAGUCUUAUAGCCCUCGGUGCAAUGCGGCCAGCCGGGACCGAGGACCGCGCUUCGGCUAGGAUGCUGGCGUAAUGGUUGUAAGCGACCCGUCUUGAAACACGGACCAAGGAGUCUAACAUCUAUGCGAGUGUUUGGGUGUCAAACCCAUACGCGGAAUGAAAGUGAACGGAGGUGAGAACCCUCAAGGGCGCAUCAUCGACCGAUCCAGAUGUCUUCGGAUGGAUUUGAGUAGGAGCAUAGCUGUUGGGACCCGAAAGAUGGUGAACUAUGCCUGAAUAGGGUGAAGCCAGAGGAAACUCUGGUGGAGGCUCGCAGCGGUUCUGACGUGCAAAUCGAUCGUCAAAUUUGGGUAUAGGGGCGAAAGACUAAUCG
This 851-nucleotide ribosomal RNA is filed under the name Xanthoparmelia dierythra. Its description in RNAcentral is "eukaryotic LSU rRNA". It matches the Rfam family "Eukaryotic large subunit ribosomal RNA", at positions 71 to 937 of the family's 3401-position model. The record is from RNAcentral. Lineage: Eukaryota; Fungi; Ascomycota; Lecanoromycetes; Lecanorales; Parmeliaceae.